CUUUACAGCCAUACCACCCUGAACAUGCCAAUCUCAUCUGAUCUUGGAAGCUAAGCAGGGUUGGGCCCAUUUAGUACUUGGAUGGGAGACUCCUCCUAUACCUCCAUAAAAUAAACA
Molecule: ribosomal RNA, 117 nt
Filed under: Neogale vison (American mink)
Lineage: Eukaryota; Metazoa; Chordata; Mammalia; Carnivora; Mustelidae
Source: RNAcentral